Molecule: long non-coding RNA, 1311 nt
Filed under: Numida meleagris (helmeted guineafowl)
Lineage: Eukaryota; Metazoa; Chordata; Aves; Galliformes; Numididae
Description: lncRNA (ENSNMEG00000021767.1)
Source: RNAcentral
AGGUAUUAGUAUCUUGCUGAAUUAACAUUCACCACAUUUAGUGUAAAGGGAUUAUAAUCACCCUGGAACUUUAUUUACAUUUUUCUCUUGGCCUAAUGCCCUACAGCUGUACCAAUGAGAGAAGUUAACAGCUCUAACUGUCCUUCACCUCCUUCCCUGCUGGAUGGUCUGUCCUCUCUGAUCUGCUGAUAGAGCCAUUACAGAAGUUCAUUUAAAAUUAUAUUGGCCAGCUUAAACAGUUGUUUUUUGCUAACUUGGCUUUUUUAGUCUCAGAUGAAUUAGGGAGCUUGCUAGCCUCCUUCUCUAGCUCAGCUCUUUAUGGACUGCAUGUGUGUUGGCAUCUUGAAUCAUACUGUAAGUAAUAUAUGGGGGUCAAUAACAGACCAAUAUUGAAUCUGAUAAAAGAUGUAUUUUGAAUGUAAUAACACAUGCAAGUAUGUAAUGUGAUGGCUGAACAAAAGGAUAUGGGCUAUUAAAUAGGCUUAUUGUUGCUGUAUUUUAUGCAAAAUAUCAUAUGAUAAGAGCAGUAAAACAAGCAAAUUUUAACAAGGAGAGCUAGUAAUUCAAGCUAGCAAAAGAAAAAACCUACUCAUUAUGCAUAACAUUAGGAUAUUGAUAUCUUACUAAAAUGGCUAGAGACUAAAAAGAACAGCUGUAGGUAGUUCUCAUAAAAUGUGAUAUUUGUAAAUGAUAACAACCGAGAAGCUUGAUUCUGAAAGCAGGAACAUGUUUUAUAGGUAUCACUUCCUCUUCUGAUCAUAAAAAGGAUUGCUUCCUGUUCCUCUCUUGGGUGAACUGAUGGAUGAGGCAUGGAAGGACCAGGCAGCAAACAUUGAGCGCUCCACACUGCGCAGCAUGUGUGCAUUCUUCCCACAUCAAUCUGGUGUUAAGUGGAAUGGCAACUGUUGCUGUUGAGAACUACUGUAGCAAUGACCAGCGCCCUAGCUCCCUGCUUUACCAGCAAGCUAUUCUGCUUUCAGAAUAUGAAAUACAUUUGGUUUAAUGAGCAGGAAGACAGAAGAAAGUUGCUGAUUUGAGUUCUGUUGGUAAAUGGAAUUGAUUAUUUUUUCAUAGAACCAUUAUGAUUGGAAAAGACCUCUGAGAUCAUGGGGUCUAACCAUCCACUUACCAUCAAUAUUGUCCCCUAAACCAUGUCCCUAAGUACUAAUCUACCCUGUCCUUAAACACCUGCAGGGACAGUUACUUCACUACCUCCCUGGGCAGCCCAUUCCAGUGCCUUCCCACUCUUUCUGAGAAGAAAUGUUUCCUAAUAUGCAACAUUUUUGGAGCAGGCAUUAAAAUCGUUUCACU